GGGUCAGUAGGUCGGUCGUGCCACCGGUACGUACUGGUCUCACUGAUUCCUCCUUCCUGAAGAACCGUAAUGCCAUUAAUUUGGUGUUGCGGGGAAACAGGACUGUUACCUUGAAAAAAUUAGAGUGUUUAAAGCAAGCUAACGCUUGAAUACAUUAGCAUGGAAUAAUGAAAUAGGACGAUCGAUCCUAUUUUGUUGGUUUCUAGGAUUGACGUA
RNAcentral lists this ribosomal RNA (216 nucleotides) under Glomeromycotina sp. RNAcentral's name for it is "partial small subunit ribosomal RNA". The stretch from base 40 to 216 matches the Rfam family "Eukaryotic small subunit ribosomal RNA", at positions 686 to 864 of the family's 1831-position model. Lineage: Eukaryota; Fungi; Glomeromycota. The record is from RNAcentral.